Molecule: long non-coding RNA, 1099 nt
Organism: Canis lupus familiaris (dog)
Lineage: Eukaryota; Metazoa; Chordata; Mammalia; Carnivora; Canidae
Exons: 2
Source: RefSeq, a predicted model, not a curated record
GUGGGGUUGGUCCCGGCGGCAGCGUGCUCGCAGCCGCUCGUUUGUUUUGAGCGUUUCCAGGAGAGAAGCCGGUUCCUGGCGCCGCGCCGCGCCGAGGCCUGCGCUCCCUGGAUUCCCAGAACCCACACGCUCUCCUGGCUGUCAUGCUGCGCUGGGGAUGCUCAGUCCCGCCGCGGACGUUAGGGCGCUCUUGAGCCCGGGCGCCUCUCUUCACAUCGCCUGGAGGACUUUAUCCGGUUUCAUGGCUUUACAUAGCUACUCAGAUAUGCCAGGCCCUUCUCAUCGUUGAGCCAUCCAUCACUCACGUUGUCGGCUUUGCCUUGGGUGCUUCUCCCUCAGCUGGCUCAUUCUCGUCCUGUCUCACCUCAAAUGUCACCUAAGUCUCAUUUCCUUUAAAGAAGUCUGUACUUGGCUGCUGUUUUCCCACACUAGAAAGUAAGCUCCAUGAGGAGGAACGGUUGUCUUAAUUGCCACUGUUAUUUUCAGCACAUGGUAGGUGCCCACUAAGCAUUUGUGGAGUAAAUACUGCUGAAUGAAGAAUCCCUUGAGGUAGGCAUGUAAUCCCCACUUCGUAAGAGUACAGUGGGAGAGAAUGACAUAAUUUAGUCAGGAGCAUAAGCUGUUGAGUAGCAAAGACAAGAUUUGAACACAAAUGACUCAAGGCUACUUCUUGCCCUGCAGCGGUCUACCUACUGCAUGCUCAGAGUGGGAGAGCUAAAUAUCCAAUGCAGUUGGGAUUAUAGGAUAAUUUCUAAAGAAGGGUCCUGCAGAGGAGUUAGGUGAAGGGGCAGGGGGCAGGUAUCAUGAAUCAUGCACAGAAAAGCCACUGCUUCCUGAGACUCUGCCUUUUUUUCUUCACUCCAGCUUUUUUUUUGCCUUUUUUUCUUCACUCCAGCUUUAGAUGGAAAUUUGAUAGAAAGACUCUGCCAUUCACUAGCCAUGUAAUCUGAGACAUCACAACUUUGCUGAGUUUUCACAUGUUAUCUAUUUAAUGCAAGGAUCAUCUACCUAUUGUAGUGUGUCAGAAUUAACAAAAUAUAAAAGAUAAAAUGUCUGACACAGACUUGGGUGAUCAAUAAACUGUCUCUAUUAUCCUUAA